This is a long non-coding RNA of Phascolarctos cinereus (koala), 393 nucleotides long. RefSeq lists it as uncharacterized. Lineage: Eukaryota; Metazoa; Chordata; Mammalia; Diprotodontia; Phascolarctidae. The record is from RefSeq and is a predicted model, not a curated record.
CUCAUCUCCUAUGAACCAAUCCCCUACUUAGACCAUCAAAGUGGACUAAAACAAGAAAGGAGAGAAGCAUUAUAGACUCUGAGCUGUAAGGGACCUUUAAGGCUAUGUACUCCAACUCCCUUAUGUUCAAGACAGUGGACAGCCUCAGAACCAAGCCCUGAAGAUGGAUGGGGCAGCUUUCUGAAAGUCGUGGAGACUUCAGCUACCUAUCGUGAAGCGAGUCCAGGGAAAUCCACCUGUCCAGCAGAAACACCUUAAUGGAGUUCUGAUUUUUAUACCGAUUUCCCCUGGUUCUUGUGUUUAUUUGUGGGAGGGUGCACCCUAGGUUCAUGUGGGGAAUGCUUUGUUGCAGCUGUGUCUACUGUGCAAUCACAAUAAAUGCCUUUGCUAAGA